AUUACACAGUGGUCUUCGACAAAGCUUGGAACAGAUACUUGGUAUUAUGCCAAACGGUGCUUCUUGUCUUUACUGGAGAAUAUGGCAAAACACAUGAUUAUGCUGAGGGACACCGUUAUACAAGAAUGUAUCCAGUUCUUAGAACAUUGUGAAAUUUAUGGCAAGAAUGUGUUAGCAGUAAUCGAGCAGCCCUUGGAAGAACAGAAACUGCACUCAGGGAAAAAUACAGUUACAUAUCAGGCACGGCUGUUAAAGUCAUUGAUUUAUGAGAUCAUUGGCUGGAAUAACUAGCAAAAUAUUUAUCUUCCUUGAAGCAAGGUUGAGCUUACUAAGAAUUGUUUUACAUUUCAACUUGUUCAAAGGAAUAUAUCAUUUUGGAAAAUAUUUGACCUAAACCUUUUGCAAUGCAAUAUUUACAUAUUGGCUCUAUAAAUUCUCUAAUUCAUUUUAUAAACUGCAACUUCGACAGGUAUGUUCUUUAUGUAUCUUGUUAGUGACAUAAGAAAUGACUGUUCCUCAUGGGUAGGAAAUAUUACUCCAGACCUUAUUUGUGACUUAAUCAUUUGUUAGUCCAUGUUCAACAGAGACUGUGUUUUAAUAUUGCACGAAAAUUUUGUCAAGCUGUUUAAAAACUUACUUGUCAGAGUUGUGUUUGUUUUUACUGUGACGUAUUUGUAAGUAAAAGAUUUUGGAUUAUGAUUUCAUCUACUUUUGUGAGCACAUUUUGUUCUGAAAGACCUGUCAUAUAAAAUUGACAAAGGGUCUGCACUUCACUUUAUAUUUUAUUGAAUAAAGUGGACAAUAAAACAAAAGCAAUUUAUGACACAUCAUUUAAUGUUCUGCAGAGUUAUGUAGUUCUACUGCAGUCGGUAUGAAUUCUGUAAACAGAACAGAAUUGAGGAGUGCACUAGGAUUAAUGAAAUUGACCAGUGGGAAUUGUUGGUUUUCAUUCCGGGGUGCACCGGGCCCACCUGAAGGUCCUCUUCAACUACAGCGAAUUGCUGGCAUUCUUUAUAAAACUCAGUAAGAAGCAGUUAGGUAGAAGACAGGAAAAACAUUGAAAAGUAAUACAUUUUCUGCAAGCAGAGGUAUCAACUACCAGCAGUAUUUUGUAAAUGGAACAGUGGUUUCUCAGUGUCAUCCAGCACGGAGACAGACCCUUCGAUCCAACCAGUCCAUGCCAACCAUAAUACCAAACUAAACUAGUUCCACCUGCCUGUGCUUGUCCUAUAUCUCUCCAAAUCUUUCCUUUUCAUGUACUUAUCCAAGUGUCUUUUAAAUGUAACUGUACCCGCAUCAACCACUUCCUCUGGAUUUAAUUCCACACACAGACCACUUUGUGUAAAACAAAAAGUUGCCCCUCAGUCCUUUUUAAAUCUUUCUCCAUUCAUCUUAAAAAUAUGUCCCCUAGUCUUGAAAUCCCCCACCAUAGGGAAAACUAUUGUGACAAUUGUGAACUGGAAACACUCCCUUGGAUUAUACAUAUGUUAGAACAAUCUGUAGGAUGGAACUUUUCCUGCAACUUUUACUUUAUAACAUUUUACCAUAAGUUAACAUCAUAUUUCGCUCCUUUACUGUAAAGUCUAAAGACGAUGCUGUUUAUUUUUAACUUUCCAUCCUGCCAGCAUAUCACUUACACCACUGCAUUUCUAAUGGGAAAGAUGAAUUGCCUUUCCUUGGGGUAAAUACCAUCAUAAACCAAAAUAGAGUGCCUAUCCACAUCACCCCUCGUUGCUGUUUUAAUCUUUUCUGGAAACUAUUCUAUAUUCCAGAUAAGAUCAGAAACUCCUGAUUCAUGAGCAGGGGUUAAUUCUUAAAGAAAUGGAUAAUUGGUAUUUCUUGCAAGUUAUCCUGAUCAGUGCAAGAUGAAGAACUUUGAGACAAUGUCUUUUUUUUCAGCAAGUCCUGCACUACCAAAUGACUAUCUGUAAUUUGAAUGGAUAUCUUUCUAGAAUUCUAACGUGCUAGCUUGUAUCUCAAUACGUUGUGUGUCUAGGUAGAUGACGAUAAACAUAUUUGUAUGAAUAACUACACUCAUUCUUAGAUUGAAAAACAGAACUAGGUGUAAUGUACUAUAAAUGACGCAAUAAAGCCUUGUUGCUAAAUUGCUGGUGUUCUUGCAAAGUUCUGCUUGUUCCAUAGAAACGAAGGUAACCACCCAGGGCUCCAACAGCAACACUGGUCGUGUGAUCCGAACAGCCACCUGAAAUAAAAACACUUCCAUGAACAUCUUGACCAGAGUAUUUUCCAGUGAAUGUAAAUUCCCAUUGUAUGCUUUGAUGUCGUGUUGAAGAAGAAACAAAACUGCAAACAUUUAGUGAACUUAGAUGCAUUCUGUAGUUCUUAAUCUUUCAUCCCAUUGAUGUUUCAUUUCUAAAGUUGCAUGCUGUCUUUACCAUUGCAUGAUUUUCCAACAUUAAUGAAAUCUGGUAAUUUCCUAGAUGUAAGUCUUAAACGUAUGCAAGAAGUGAGCACAGAGGCUCCUGACAUUAUCAGAACCCAAGGUCACAGUCUGAGAAUAAAGGGUCAGCCAAUUAGAAGUGAAAUGAGAAAGUUUUUUCAACAGGGCAGAUGUGAAUCUUUCAUAUUUUCUACCCCAGUAGAGCUAUGAUUGCUCUUAUUGUGCAUAUUUAAUACUGAGCUUCAUCUCAGAGAAGUUACAUCACAGAUGGAGGCCAU
Molecule: long non-coding RNA, 2679 nt
Organism: Rhincodon typus (whale shark)
Lineage: Eukaryota; Metazoa; Chordata; Chondrichthyes; Orectolobiformes; Rhincodontidae
Exons: 3
Source: RefSeq, a predicted model, not a curated record